This 243-nucleotide ribosomal RNA is filed under the name uncultured Pseudomonas sp. RNAcentral describes it as "partial 16S ribosomal RNA". It matches the Rfam family "Bacterial small subunit ribosomal RNA", at positions 109 to 354 of the family's 1533-position model. The record is from RNAcentral. Lineage: Bacteria; Pseudomonadati; Pseudomonadota; Gammaproteobacteria; Pseudomonadales; Pseudomonadaceae.
AGUAAUGCCUAGGAAUCUGCCUGGUAGUGGGGGACAACGUUUCGAAAGGAACGCUAAUACCGCAUACGUCCUACGGGAGAAAGCAGGGACCUUCGGGCCUUGCGCUAUCAGAUGAGCCUAGGUCGGAUUAGCUAGUUGGUGAGGUAAUGGCUCACCAAGGCGACGAUCCGUAACUGGUCUGAGAGGAUGAUCAGUCACACUGGAACUGAGACACGGUCCAGACUCCUACGGGAGGCAGCAGGA